AUUAAACGCUGGCGGCAUGCCUUACACAUGCAAGUCGAACGGCAGCACGGGGGCAACCCUGGUGGCGAGUGGCGGACGGGUGAGUAAAGCAUCGGAACGUAUCCUGGAGUGGGGGAUAACGUAGCGAAAGUUACGCUAAUACCGCAUAUUCUGUGAGCAGGAAAGCAGGGGAUCGCAAGACCUUGCGCUCUGGGAGCGGCCGAUGUCGGAUUAGCUAGUUGGUGGGGUAAAGGCCUACCAAGGCGACGAUCCGUAGCGGGUCUGAGAGGAUGAUCCGCCACACUGGGACUGAGACACGGCCCAGACUCCUACGGGAGGCAGCAGUGGGGAAUUUUGGACAAUGGGCGCAAGCCUGAUCCAGCCAUGCCGCGUGAGUGAAG
This 380-nucleotide ribosomal RNA is filed under the name uncultured bacterium. RNAcentral describes it as "bacterial SSU rRNA". It matches the Rfam family "Bacterial small subunit ribosomal RNA", at positions 29 to 410 of the family's 1533-position model. The record is from RNAcentral.